This 439-nucleotide ribosomal RNA is filed under the name uncultured bacterium. RNAcentral describes it as "bacterial SSU rRNA". It matches the Rfam family "Bacterial small subunit ribosomal RNA", at positions 28 to 507 of the family's 1533-position model. The record is from RNAcentral.
GAUGAACGCUGGCGGUAUGCUUAACACAUGCAAGUCGUACGAAGAUCUUCGAUCUUAGUGGCGGACGGGUGAGUAACACGUGAGAAUUUGCCUUUAGGAGGGGGAUAACAAUUGGAAACGAAUGCUAAUACCCCAUAUGCUUUUGAGUGAAAUGGAUUUUAUCCGCCUAGAGAGAAGCUCGCGGCUGAUUAGCUUGUUGGUAAGGUAAGAGCUUACCAAGGCGACGAUCAGUAUCUGGUUUGAGAGGACGAUCAGACACACUGGAACUGAGACACGGUCCAGACUCCUACGGGAGGCAGCAGUGGGGAAUUUUCCGCAAUGGGCGAAAGCCUGACGGAGCAAUACCGCGUGAGGGAAGACUGCCUAUGGGUUGUAAACCUCUUUUUCAGGGAGGAAUAAAUGACGUGUACCUGAAGAAUAAGCAUCGGCUAACUCCGUG